RNAcentral lists this ribosomal RNA (116 nucleotides) under Pteropus alecto (black flying fox). The record is from RNAcentral. Lineage: Eukaryota; Metazoa; Chordata; Mammalia; Chiroptera; Pteropodidae.
GUCUAUGGCCAUGCCACCCUGAACAAGCCCGAUGUCUGAUCUUGGAAGCUAAGCAGGGUCAGGCCUGGUUAGUACUUGAAUGAGAGACCACCUAGGAAGACCAGGUUCUGUAGGCA